UUUUGAGUAUGCGUAUGGUGUCCAUUGUCACGUAAUCGUAUCGGGUUAAGAAGUUAUUUGCGUGUUCGAAGUUUGGUUGCGCGUUGCGCGAUUACUUGCUAGUUGCAAGCAGUUAUUUUUAUCGGUGUACUGCUACAAAUUAUUCGAUUGUUGUAAAAGACGUCUCCAGGGCUAUUACGAGUCAUAACAUAUCAAAAUUGAUGAAAAUACGUCCUAAAAUAAUCUCCCUUCGUUGUCUCAUACCAUUAUUAUAUAUACUGUCUGAUGUUUUGGAGCAUUAGUAACAUCCAGUACUGCGUAACUAUGACUGUGUAGCUAAUAUCUAAACCCCAGAAAGCACCAAGCUGGUAUUCUGAAGGGGGUGUGGAAUCUGAGAAACAACCAGUAUUCAAGAAUAUUGCUACCAAAAAGAUGUUUUUGGGAGUUAAUUUGACAAACUUAACCAUGAUAGCGUCAUGAUACUUAUUCAAGAAACUGGACUAAGCAAUAAAUGCUUGUGUGUGAAAAAAUAAACGUGUUUGGAGUCCAGUGAACAACAUGAGCCAUAGGACACUAAUGACAGCAGCAGAGAAGCUUGCCGCUGUUCCUGAUGUGGAUAUCGACCCAGAA
Molecule: long non-coding RNA, 609 nt
Organism: Schistocerca piceifrons (Central American locust)
Lineage: Eukaryota; Metazoa; Arthropoda; Insecta; Orthoptera; Acrididae
Exons: 3
Source: RefSeq, a predicted model, not a curated record